CUUAUGGAGAGUUUGAUCCUGGCUCAGGACGAACGCUGGCGGCGUGCCUAAUACAUGCAAGUCGAGCGAAUGAAAGAGAAGCUUGCUUCUCUGGAUUUAGCGGCGGACGGGUGAGUAACACGUGGGCAACCUACCUUAUAGAUGGGGAUAACUCCGGGAAACCGGGGCUAAUACCGAAUAACUCCAAGCACCUCCUGGUGCUUGGCUGAAAGACGGUUUCGGCUGUCACUAUAAGAUGGGCCCGCGGCGCAUUAGCUAGUUGGUAAGGUAACGGCUUACCAAGGCAACGAUGCGUAGCCGACCUGAGAGGGUGAUCGGCCACACUGGGA
RNAcentral lists this ribosomal RNA (329 nucleotides) under Metalysinibacillus jejuensis. RNAcentral's name for it is "bacterial SSU rRNA". It matches the Rfam family "Bacterial small subunit ribosomal RNA", at positions 1 to 318 of the family's 1533-position model. Lineage: Bacteria; Bacillati; Bacillota; Bacilli; Caryophanales; Caryophanaceae. The record is from RNAcentral.